CACACUCACUAGCAGAGACACACUCACAGACACACACACUCACAGACACACUCACACACACUAACAGACAGACACACACACACACUAACAGACACACACACACUCACUAACAGACACACACACUCAUUAACACUCACACACACACUCUAACUAACAGACACACACACUCACUAAUAGACACACACACACUCACUAAUAGACACACACACACUCACACUCACUAACAACAGACACACACACUAACAGACACACACACACUCACUAAUAGACACACUCACAUUAACACA
Molecule: non-coding RNA, 287 nt
Organism: Pelobates cultripes (western spadefoot toad)
Lineage: Eukaryota; Metazoa; Chordata; Amphibia; Anura; Pelobatidae
Source: the annotation of a GenBank genome assembly